AUUGAACGCUGGCGGAAUGCUUUACACACGCAAGUCGAACGGCAGCACGGGAGCUUGCUCCUGGUGGCGAGUGGCGAACGGGUGAGUAAUAUAUCGGAACGUAUCCAAUAAUGGGGGAUAACUAGUCGAAAGAUUAGCUAAUACCGCAUACGCCCUGAGGGGGAAAGCUGGGGAUCUUCGGACCUAGCGUUAGUGGAGCGGCCGAUAUCUGAUUAGCUAGUAGGUGAGGUAAAAGCUCACCUAGUCGACGAUCAGUAGCUGGUCUGAGAGGACGACCAGCCACACUGGAACUGAGACACGGUCCAGACUCCUACGGGAGGCAGCAGUGGGGAAUUUUGGACAAUGGGGGCAACCCUGAUCCAGCCAUUCCGCGUGAGUGAAGAAGGCCUUCGGGUUGUAAAGCUCUUUCGCAAGGGAAGAAAACUUAACCUCUAACAUAGGUUGAGGCUGACGGUACCUUGAUAAGAAGCACCGGCUAACUACGUGCCAGCCGCCGCAGUAA
This 502-nucleotide ribosomal RNA is filed under the name uncultured bacterium. RNAcentral's name for it is "partial 16S ribosomal RNA". It matches the Rfam family "Bacterial small subunit ribosomal RNA", at positions 30 to 523 of the family's 1533-position model. The record is from RNAcentral.